RNAcentral lists this ribosomal RNA (490 nucleotides) under uncultured bacterium. Its description in RNAcentral is "partial 16S ribosomal RNA". It matches the Rfam family "Bacterial small subunit ribosomal RNA", at positions 29 to 507 of the family's 1533-position model. The record is from RNAcentral.
AGUGAACGCUGGCGGCAGGCCUAAUACAUGCAAGUCGAACGGCAGCACAGUGGAGCUUGCUCCAUUGGUGGCGAGUGGCGGACGGGUGAGGAAUACAUGGGAAUCUGCCCAGUCGUGGGGGAUAACGUAGGGAAACUUACGCUAAUACCGCAUGCGCCCUUCGGGGGAAAGCCGGGGACCUUCGGGCCUGGCGCGAUUGGAUGAGCCCAUGUUCGAUUAGCUAGUUGGCGGGGUAAAGGCCCACCAAGGCGACGAUCGAUAGCUGGUCUGAGAGGAUGAUCAGCCACACUGGGACUGAGACACGGCCCAGACUCCUACGGGAGGUAGCAGUAGGGAAUAUUGGACAAUGGGCGCAAGCCUGAUCCAGCCAUGCCGCGUGAGUGAAGAAGGCCCUCGGGUUGUAAAGCUCUUUUGUCCGGGAAGAAAAGCAUCGGGCUAAUACCUCGGUGUUCUGACGGUACCGGAAGAAUAAGCACCGGCUAACUUCGUG